RNAcentral lists this ribosomal RNA (483 nucleotides) under uncultured bacterium. RNAcentral describes it as "partial 16S ribosomal RNA". It matches the Rfam family "Bacterial small subunit ribosomal RNA", at positions 28 to 507 of the family's 1533-position model. The record is from RNAcentral.
AUUGAACGCUGGCGGCAUGCUUUACACAUGCAAGUCGAACGGCAGCGCGGGCUUCGGCCUGGCGGCGAGUGGCGAACGGGUGAGUAAUGCAUCGGAACGUGCCCAGUAGUGGGGGAUAGCCCGGCGAAAGCCGGAUUAAUACCGCAUACGACCUGAGGGUGAAAGCGGGGGACCGAAAGGCCUCGCGCUAUUGGAGCGGCCGAUGUCGGAUUAGCUAGUUGGUGGGGUAAAGGCUUACCAAGGCGACGAUCCGUAGCUGGUCUGAGAGGACGACCAGCCACACGGGGACUGAGACACGGCCCAGACCCUACGGGAGGCAGCAGUGGGGAAUUUUGGACAAUGGGGGCAACCCUGAUCCAGCCAUGCCGCGUGCGGGAAGAAGGCCUUCGGGUUGUAAACCGCUUUUGUUCGGGAAGAAAUCCUCUGGGCUAAUACCCCGGGGGGAUGACGGUACCGGAAGAAUAAGCACCGGCUAACUACGUG